GGAUAUGAGGGCGAUCUGGCUGCAACAUGUUAUCCCACUGAGCCAGGGCUGAUUCGGCUGACUAGGAGGGUGUCCUCUUCCUUCCUCACUGCUCCAUGUGUAUCCCUCCCGAAGCUGUGUGCUCGGUCAAAGAGGAUGACCACCCCCGAUAGAGGAGGACCAUUUCCUUGGUCAAGGUUAUACAAGUAGCUACACUCCCCUCCAAACAAGCUCUUAAGAACAUAUCAGCUUUAUGAUCAUGAAUGAGUAACUUCCAGGUACCUCAAUGUAUCCAUUUAUAAAACAGUAUCACAAU
This is an unclassified non-coding RNA of Fukomys damarensis (Damara mole-rat), 295 nucleotides long. Its record names the gene 7SK. It matches the Rfam family "7SK RNA". Rfam says of the family: 7SK was discovered as an abundant small nuclear RNA in the mid-70s but a possible function has only recently been suggested. Two independent studies have found that 7SK RNA binds the CDK9/cyclin T complex (known as elongation factor P-TEFb). The record is from Ensembl. Lineage: Eukaryota; Metazoa; Chordata; Mammalia; Rodentia; Bathyergidae.